GUUGUAUGGUUAAGUGACUAAGCGUACACGGUGGAUGCCUUGGCAGUCAGAGGCGAUGAAGGACGUAUUAACUUGCGAUAAGCCCAGAUUAGGUAGUAAAAACCAUUUGAGUCUGGGAUUUCCGAAUGGGGAAACCCACUUACAUAAGUAAGUAUCGUUAUGUGAAUACAUAGCAUAACGAGGCGAACCGGGGGAACUG
RNAcentral lists this ribosomal RNA (199 nucleotides) under Vibrio variabilis. Its description in RNAcentral is "partial 23S ribosomal RNA". It matches the Rfam family "Bacterial large subunit ribosomal RNA", at positions 1 to 195 of the family's 2925-position model. The record is from RNAcentral. Lineage: Bacteria; Pseudomonadati; Pseudomonadota; Gammaproteobacteria; Vibrionales; Vibrionaceae.